This 1542-nucleotide ribosomal RNA is filed under the name Shigella boydii. RNAcentral describes it as "bacterial SSU rRNA". It matches the Rfam family "Bacterial small subunit ribosomal RNA". Lineage: Bacteria; Pseudomonadati; Pseudomonadota; Gammaproteobacteria; Enterobacterales; Enterobacteriaceae. The record is from RNAcentral. RNAcentral also lists the same sequence under 3 other names.
AAAUUGAAGAGUUUGAUCAUGGCUCAGAUUGAACGCUGGCGGCAGGCCUAACACAUGCAAGUCGAACGGUAACAGGAAUCAGCUUGCUGAUUCGCUGACGAGUGGCGGACGGGUGAGUAAUGUCUGGGAAACUGCCUGAUGGAGGGGGAUAACUACUGGAAACGGUAGCUAAUACCGCAUAAUGUCGCAAGACCAAAGAGGGGGACCUUCGGGCCUCUUGCCAUCGGAUGUGCCCAGAUGGGAUUAGCUUGUUGGUGGGGUAACGGCUCACCAAGGCGACGAUCCCUAGCUGGUCUGAGAGGAUGACCAGCCACACUGGAACUGAGACACGGUCCAGACUCCUACGGGAGGCAGCAGUGGGGAAUAUUGCACAAUGGGCGCAAGCCUGAUGCAGCCAUGCCGCGUGUAUGAAGAAGGCCUUCGGGUUGUAAAGUACUUUCAGCGGGGAGGAAGGGAGUAAAGUUAAUACCUUUGCUCAUUGACGUUAUCCGCAGAAGAAGCACCGGCUAACUCCGUGCCAGCAGCCGCGGUAAUACGGAGGGUGCAAGCGUUAAUCGGAAUUACUGGGCGUAAAGCGCACGCAGGCGGUUUGUUAAGUCAGAUGUGAAAUCCCCGGGCUCAACCUGGGAACUGCAUCUGAUACUGGCAAGCUUGAGUCUCGUAGAGGGGGGUAGAAUUCCAGGUGUAGCGGUGAAAUGCGUAGAGAUCUGGAGGAAUACCGGUGGCGAAGGCGGCCCCCUGGACGAAGACUGACGCUCAGGUGCGAAAGCGUGGGGAGCAAACAGGAUUAGAUACCCUGGUAGUCCACGCCGUAAACGAUGUCGACUUGGAGGUUGUGCCCUUGAGGCGUGGCUUCCGGAGCUAACGCGUUAAGUCGACCGCCUGGGGAGUACGGCCGCAAGGUUAAAACUCAAAUGAAUUGACGGGGGCCCGCACAAGCGGUGGAGCAUGUGGUUUAAUUCGAUGCAACGCGAAGAACCUUACCUGGUCUUGACAUCCACGGAAGUUUUCAGAGAUGAGAAUGUGCCUUCGGGAACCGUGAGACAGGUGCUGCAUGGCUGUCGUCAGCUCGUGUUGUGAAAUGUUGGGUUAAGUCCCGCAACGAGCGCAACCCUUAUCCUUUGUUGCCAGCGGUCCGGCCGGGAACUCAAAGGAGACUGCCAGUGAUAAACUGGAGGAAGGUGGGGACGACGUCAAGUCAUCAUGGCCCUUACGACCAGGGCUACACACGUGCUACAAUGGCGCAUACAAAGAGAAGCGACCUCGCGAGAGCAAGCGGACCUCAUAAAGUGCGUCGUAGUCCGGAUUGGAGUCUGCAACUCGACUCCAUGAAGUCGGAAUCGCUAGUAAUCGUGGAUCAGAAUGCCACGGUGAAUACGUUCCCGGGCCUUGUACACACCGCCCGUCACACCAUGGGAGUGGGUUGCAAAAGAAGUAGGUAGCUUAACCUUCGGGAGGGCGCUUACCACUUUGUGAUUCAUGACUGGGGUGAAGUCGUAACAAGGUAACCGUAGGGGAACCUGCGGUUGGAUCACCUCCUUA